AUAAGCCAGCUUGACUGCGAGACAAACAAGUCGAGCAGGGACGAAAGUCGGUCUUAGUGAUCCUCAGUGGCAUAGUGGUAUGCCCUGAGCUUAACGGAUAAAAGCUACCUUGGGGAUAACAGGCUUAUCGCAUCCAAGCGUUCACAGCGACGAUGCGGUUUGGCACCUUUUGAAUUAAAUCAUUGGGGCGCCUACAAAGAGAUUUGUAAAAGUCUGGUCCCGAUAGGCAUUUUGAGAAAUGCAUCGGGAUAAAAUUGACUAGUUAAAAUCGGUGGACGCCCCGCCUUGGCGGGGUCAAUACCGAGGUCGCCUUAGGCGACCGUAUCGACUUGUCCGAUGCAAAAUGUCGGACAGAUGGAAGUUUUUAAUUCGCCGACUGGCGGAAAAUCUAUGACUUCUAUAAAAGACUAGCUCCUAAAGUGAUGUUUAGGAUGAAGGUAUAGUCAGAUCCUCUUGGCAACAAGAGGACGCAUUCCGAGGAUUCGGAAUCGCGAUGUCGGCUCAUCGCAUCCUGGGGGUGGAGAAGCUCCCAAGGGUCGGGCUGUUCGCCCGUUAAAGCGGUACGCGAGCUGGGUUCAGAACGUCGUAAGACAGUAGACCUAUAGCGUUAAUUACGCUAUUAAAUGAGCUGUCUAUAAAUCUAGCUAUUUGCUGGAAACUCCGGAGUAUCUUCAGCUACUUGACAAGUAAGCUAUCGUAGAGUUACGAUAACUUUAUGUCUAGUGAUAAUGUUGGAAGUGCGGACAAUCAGCAGGCAGCUGGGAAAGAAAUUUCUAAUGAGUAUUUAGCGGGAUUCACCGAUGGUGAGGGGUGUUUCUAUGUGGGGUUUGGUAAGAGAAAAGAUUUGCCUCUUAAAUGGCAGGUGAUUACCGAAUUUCAUGUAAGUCAAAAUCCAGGCGGAAAAAAUGUUUUGGAAGAGUUCAGAAAAAGGCUUGAUUGCGGUUAUUUAAAACCCAAUCAUGCAAAGAGCUUAAAAGACAAAACUUGGAUUUUAAUCGUAAAAGACAGAAAGGAUUUAAAGGAAAAACUUAUUCCUUUCUUUCAGGAACACAGUCUGCACACAAGCAAACAAAAAGAUUUUGAAAUUUUUGUAAAAGUGCUUGAAAAGAUUAAAACAGGAAAGCAUUUAACUAAAGACGGUUUUAAACAAAUCGUUGAGUUAGUUUUUGCCACUACCCGGGUAACAAAUAAAAGAUACUCAAAAGAAUCGCUUCUUUCCUAGAGCCUCAGAGACUACAUACUAGAUGAUGCAUUAAAUAGUGCGUCAAAGAUAUAGUCCGAACUGCAUGGCGACAUGUAGAGCGCAACAGAAAUGUUGUGUUCCCGAUCGAAUCGGGAUAACAUAUUGUCGGUCUCUAUCCAGGACAACCGAUUGAAAUUUGAGGAGAUUCGUCCCUAGUACGAGAGGACUGGGAUGAGGAAACCCCUGGUGUGCCAGUUGUUCUUACAAGAGCAGCGCUGGGUAACUAUGUUUCCAACGGAUAACCGCUGAAAGCAUCUAAGUGGGAAGCCGCCUCCAAGAUUAGAUUUCUAUCCCGUACCACUUUGCUCAUCAGGUAAAGUUUAAACUUUAUUUAGGUUUAACCUUGCUUGGUUGGUAAAGUGGUGCGGGAGUAAACCCCUUGUAGACUACAAGGUUGAUAGGCAGGCAGUGGAAGAACCGUAAGGUUUUAAGCUUACCUGUACUAAUGGUU
Molecule: ribosomal RNA, 1694 nt
Filed under: Candidatus Levybacteria bacterium RIFCSPHIGHO2_01_FULL_40_16
Lineage: Bacteria; Candidatus Levyibacteriota
Description: partial 23S ribosomal RNA
Rfam family: Bacterial large subunit ribosomal RNA
Source: RNAcentral